This 498-nucleotide ribosomal RNA is filed under the name uncultured bacterium. RNAcentral describes it as "partial 16S ribosomal RNA". It matches the Rfam family "Bacterial small subunit ribosomal RNA", at positions 28 to 501 of the family's 1533-position model. The record is from RNAcentral.
GACGAACGCUGGCGGCGUGCUUAACACAUGCAAGUCGAACGGGAUCUCUCCGGUAGCUUGCUACCGGGCUGAUCUAGUGGCGAACGGGUGAGUAACACGUGGGCAACCUACCCUGGAGACCGGGAUAACACGGGGAAACCCGUGCUAAUACCGGAUACACUACUUUUCCCGCAUGGCAUCGGUAGAAAAGGGUGGAGCAAUCUUCCGCUCCGGGAUGGGCCCGCGUCCCAUUAGCUUGUCGGGGGGGUAACGGCCUACCGAGGCUACGAUGGGUAGCCGGCCUGAGAGGGUGAACGGCCACACUGGGACUGAGAUACGGCCCAGACUCCUACGGGAGGCAGCAGUGGGGAAUAUUGCGCAAUGGGCGAAAGCCUGACGCAGCGACGCCGCGUGCAGGAAGAAGGCCUUCGGGUUGUAAACUGCUUUUGUACGGAACGAAACGGCUCUGGUUAAUACCUGGGGCUAAUGACGGUACCGUAAGAAUAAGCACCGGCUAAC